This 451-nucleotide ribosomal RNA is filed under the name uncultured bacterium. RNAcentral describes it as "partial 16S ribosomal RNA". It matches the Rfam family "Bacterial small subunit ribosomal RNA", at positions 354 to 796 of the family's 1533-position model. The record is from RNAcentral.
GUGGGGAAUAUUGGACAAUGGGGGGAACCCUGAUCCAGCCAUGCCGCGUGUGUGAAGAAGGCCUUUUGGUUGUAAAGCACUUUAAGCGAGGAGGAGGCUACCGAGAUUAAUACUCUUGGAUAGUGGACGUUACUCGCAGAAUAAGCACCGGCUAACUCUGUGCCAGCAGCCGCGGUAAUACAGAGGGUGCAAGCGUUAAUCGGAUUUACUGGGCGUAAAGCGCGCGUAGGUGGCCAAUUAAGUCAAAUGUGAAAUCCCCGAGCUUAACUUGGGAAUUGCAUUCGAUACUGGUUGGCUAGAGUAUGGGAGAGGAUGGUAGAAUUCCAGGUGUAGCGGUGAAAUGCGUAGAGAUCUGGAGGAAUACCGAUGGCGAAGGCAGCCAUCUGGCCUAAUACUGACACUGAGGUGCGAAAGCGUGGGGAGCAAACAGGAUUAGAAACCCUGGUAGUCC